CAUAGUGGCGCACGGGUGCGUAACACGUAUGCAACCUACCUUACAUUGGGGGAUAGCCUUUCGAAAGGGAGAUUAAUACCGCAUAAGACAGUAGUCUGGCAUCAGACAGCUGUUAAAGAUUUAUCGAUGUAAGCUGGGCAUGCGUCCAAUUAGUCAUUUGGCUACGUAACGGCUCACCAAGACUAUGAUUGGUAGGGGAACUGAGAGGUCAAUCCCCCACACUGGCACUGAGAUACGGGCCAAACUCCUACGGGAGGCAGCAGUAGGGAAUAUUGGGCAAUGGACGCAAGUCUGACCCAGCCAUGCCGCGUGCAGGAAGAAGGCGUUAUGCGUUGUAAACUGCUUUUAUACAGGAAGAAACGACUCUUGCGAGAGGCAUUGACGGUACUGUAUGAAUAAGCACCGGCUAACUCCGUGCCAGCAGCCGCGGUAAUACGGAGGGUGCAAGCGUUGUCCGGAUUUAUUGGGUUUAAAGGGUGCGCAGGUGGUUUAUUAAGUCAGUGGUGAAAGACGGUCGCUCAACGAUUGCAGUGCCAUUGAAACUGGUAGACUUGAGUAAAGUAGAGGUGGGCGGAAUUGAUAGUGUAGCGACGCAAUGCAUAGAUAUUAUCAAGAACUCCAAUUGCGUAGGCAGCUCACUUGGCUUUUACUGACACUCAUGCACGAAAGUGUGGGUAUCAAACAGGAUUAGAUACCGUGGUAGUCCACACUGUAAACGAUGAUAAUUAGGUGUCGGCCGAAUCUGGUCGGUGCCACAGCGAAAGCGUUAAG
This 771-nucleotide ribosomal RNA is filed under the name uncultured Arcicella sp. RNAcentral describes it as "bacterial SSU rRNA". It matches the Rfam family "Bacterial small subunit ribosomal RNA", at positions 91 to 864 of the family's 1533-position model. The record is from RNAcentral. Lineage: Bacteria; Pseudomonadati; Bacteroidota; Cytophagia; Cytophagales; Flectobacillaceae.